AGCAGCCGCGGUAAUUCCAGCUCCAAUAGCGUAUAUUAAAGUUGUUGCAGUUAAAAAGCUCGUAGUUGAAUUUCGGGAUCAAUUUGUUGGUCGUGCCUCGGUACGUACUGGCAUUAUUGGUUUCUACCUUCUGAAGAACCUUGAUGUCAUUAAUUUGGUGUCUUGGGGAAUCAGGACUGUUACUUUGAAAAAAUUAGAGUGUUUAAAGCAGGCAUACGCUUGAAUACAUUAGCAUGGAAUAAUGAAAUAGGACGUUUGAUUCUAUUUUGUUGGUUUCUUAGGAUCGACGUAAUGAUUAAUAGGGAUAGUUGGGGGCAUUAGUAUUCAAUUGUCAGAGGUGAAAUUCUUGGAUUUAUUGAAGACUAACUACUGCGAAAGCAUUUGCCAAGGAUGUUUUCAUUAAUCAAGAACGAAAGUUAGGGGAUCGAAGACGAUCAGAUACCGUCGUAGUCUUAACCAUAAACUAUGCGACUAGGGAUCGGAUGAUGUUAUUUUUAAUGACUCAUUCGGCGCCUUAAC
RNAcentral lists this ribosomal RNA (519 nucleotides) under uncultured Glomus. RNAcentral's name for it is "SSU rRNA". It matches the Rfam family "Eukaryotic small subunit ribosomal RNA", at positions 569 to 1092 of the family's 1831-position model. Lineage: Eukaryota; Fungi; Glomeromycota; Glomeromycetes; Glomerales; Glomeraceae. The record is from RNAcentral.